Molecule: ribosomal RNA, 465 nt
Filed under: uncultured bacterium
Lineage: Bacteria
Description: bacterial SSU rRNA
Rfam family: Bacterial small subunit ribosomal RNA
Source: RNAcentral
GGACCCGCACAAGCGGUGGAGCAUGUGGUUUAAUUCGAAGCAACGCGAAGAACCUUACCAAGUCUUGACAUCGGAAUGACCGGUCCGUAACGGGGCCUUCCCUUCGGGGCAUUCCAGACAGGUGGUGCAUGGUUGUCGUCAGCUCGUGUCGUGAGAUGUUGGGUUAAGUCCCGCAACGAGCGCAACCCUUAUCCUUAGUAGCCAGCAGUUCGGCUGGGCACUCUGGGGAGACUGCCAGGGAUAACCUGGAGGAAGGUGGGGAUGACGUCAAAUCAUCAUGCCCCUUAUGAUUUGGGCUACACACGUGCUACAAUGGCGUAAACAAAGGGAAGCGAAGGAGUGAUCCGGAGCAAAUCUCAAAAAUAACGUCUCAGUUCGGAUUGUAGUCUGCAACUCGACUACAUGAAGCUGGAAUCGCUAGUAAUCGCGGAUCAGAAUGCCGCGGUGAAUACGUUCCCGGGUCUU